UACGGAGGAUUCAAGCGUUAUCCGGAUUUAUUGGGUUUAAAGGGUGCGUAGGCGGUCGGAUAAGUUAGAGGUGAAAUCCCGAGGCUCAACUUCGGAAUUGCCUCUGAUACUGUCUGACUAGAGUGUAGUUGCGGAAGGCGGAAUGUGUGGUGUAGCGGUGAAAUGCUUAGAUAUCACACAGAACACCGAUUGCGAAGGCAGCUUUCCAAGCUAUUACUGACGCUGAGGCACGAAAGCGUGGGGAGCGAACAGG
Molecule: ribosomal RNA, 253 nt
Filed under: uncultured Rikenellaceae bacterium
Lineage: Bacteria; Pseudomonadati; Bacteroidota; Bacteroidia; Bacteroidales; Rikenellaceae
Description: partial 16S ribosomal RNA
Rfam family: Bacterial small subunit ribosomal RNA
Source: RNAcentral